This 253-nucleotide ribosomal RNA is filed under the name uncultured bacterium. RNAcentral describes it as "partial 16S ribosomal RNA". It matches the Rfam family "Bacterial small subunit ribosomal RNA", at positions 524 to 776 of the family's 1533-position model. The record is from RNAcentral.
UACAGAGGGGGCAAGCGUUGUUCGGAAUUAUUGGGCGUAAAGGGAGUGUAGGCGGCUUGUUAAGUCUUCUGUGAAAUCUACGGGCUUAGCCUGUAAAGUGCAGAGGAAACUGGCGAGCUUGAGUGUCGGAGAGGGUAGCGGAAUUCCUGGUGUAGAGGUGAAAUUCGUAGAGAUCGGGAGGAACACCAGUGGCGAAGGCGGCUACCUGGCUGACAACUGACGCUGAGACUCGAAAGCAUGGGGAGCAAACAGG